UUGGGUAUGAUAGCUUACAUG
Molecule: non-coding RNA, 21 nt
Filed under: Arabidopsis thaliana (thale cress)
Lineage: Eukaryota; Viridiplantae; Streptophyta; Magnoliopsida; Brassicales; Brassicaceae
Source: RNAcentral